This 3434-nucleotide small RNA is filed under the name Pan troglodytes (chimpanzee). RNAcentral describes it as "retained intron". Lineage: Eukaryota; Metazoa; Chordata; Mammalia; Primates; Hominidae. The record is from RNAcentral.
CCACCAGACACACAGACAUGCACACACAGCUCUCCAUGGGCUGCCCUGGGUGUGCCUGAGAAGGGUCUGGGAUAGAGACCUAAAAUUCAGUCAGCAGAUCUCUGUCAAGGGCCUGCCAUGGGCCAGCCACUCUGAUGAGGGCUUUCAUCAACAUGAUUGCAUUUAAACCUCACAGCCACCCCAUGAGGUAGGUAGCAUUACCCCUAGUUUACCAUUAAUGCAGUCAAUCCCAACAGGUGACUUGCCCAAGUCACAUAUCUAUUUAAGUAACAGGGCCAGCUUCCGAAUCCACAUGUGUGGCACCAAGUCUGGUAUUCUUUCCCCCAGGCUGCAUUGUUUAUCUCUCUUGCAAAAUGCUGUUUUCUUCCAGGGGCUGGGAAAGGGCUACUGGGGAGGUGAGACAUGGAGAUGGGGGCAUAGGAGGCCAGGAGCAGGGCCCUAGGCUGAGGUGCUCUGCUUCCCCCUCAGAAUGGCCUUUGUGCUGCACCAGGCUGGGCCCCCCCACAGCCAUGGGUCUAGGGGAGCAGAGUAUGCACCGCUGGAGGAGGGGCCUGAAGAGCCCCUGCCCCUGGGGAACACCAGCGUCCGGGCGGCAUUUGUGCACGUGCUGGGGGACCUCCUGCAGAGCUUUGGGGUACUGGCUGCCUCCAUCCUCAUCUACUUCAAGCCUCAAUACAAGGCAGCCGACCCCAUCAGCACCUUCCUCUUCUCCAUCUGUGCCCUUGGAUCCACGGCUCCCACCCUCCGAGACGUUCUUCGAAUCCUCAUGGAAGGUACCCCCCGCAAUGUGGGGUUCGAACCUGUGCGGGAUACGCUGUUGUCGGUGCCAGGAGUCCGGGCAACCCAUGAGCUGCACCUGUGGGCCCUUACGCUCACUUACCAUGUUGCCUCUGCACACCUGGCCAUCGGUGAGUCCCACUGGCCCCAGCUAGUUACUACCUGGAACAUACCCCACCCCAAACAUGGGACCAUAGCUUGAGUUUCUGGAAUUGUUUCAGUCUUUUUUGAUCUGUCUCUGUUUCUCUGUGUCUCUCUCUCACAUAGACACAUACACACACACACAUGCACGUGCGCUCAUGCAUGUUGGAGACAAGGAGUCUCCAUCCACUGGAUGCAGUGUUCUGGGGGCAGUUUCACCCUCUUUGAAGUAGCACAGGGAACCAACAACCCUUUAAAAGAUCAUUAGUACCUACAGGUCUAGUGAUGGGGCACAGUUAGUUAAAUUACAGCACCUCCACCCUGAGGUAUCACAUAACUGUUAAAAAUGAUGCUUAUGAAGACUGUACAGCAACUAGGAAAAAUGUUUAUGGUAUAAUGCUGAGAAAAAAGCUGAAUAUAAAAUUGCAUCUACAUUAUGAUUCAACUAUUAAAAAUAUAUAUGGUGAGUCAUGAGCUGACAAAGGAUUUUUGAGUUUCUUCCAGAUGCAAGAAGCAAUCAGAGUCAUGCAAUUUGUAUGCCAAAAAUAUUAUAAUUUGUGGGAUAUUUGAUGGAAACUCUAGAGGGACAAUGAGACAGAUAUUUAACAACUGGAUUGUCCUGGGAAAUCGGGUGGUAUGGCUGCUGAAACGUUGAGCUGUAUGUUGACACUUAAUGACAGGAGAGAAUAGGAGACUGGAAAGAGUUUAGUGUGUUAGCACGGUUGAUUGGGGUGAGUCUCUCCAACAUUUGAUUUGACACUUUUAUGCUGUUCAUACAAUACAGAAAGAAAAGCAGGCUCCCAUUCACGCCUGGCUUUAAUGCUGUGCAGCCCCUUUCCCUGUCCUUAUCUCAGUCCCUGCCUGUUCUUUCUCCCCCGGGAUGGAUGCCGCCUCUUAUCACUCUCCCACAGACUCCACCGCUGACCCUGAAGCCGUCCUGGCUGAAGCCUCAUCCCGGCUCUACUCCCGGUUUGGAUUCUCCAGCUGCACCCUGCAGGUCGAGCAGUACCAGCCGGAGAUGGCCCAGUGCCUGCGCUGCCAGGAACCCCCCCAAGCCUGAGCCAUGGCCCUGCCCUCACCCCACUGCCAGGCCGAGGCUCAGCCCCGGACUCUCAGCAUCUGCUGCCCUGAUCACAGAGACGGGACCGAGCCAGGUCCAUACCCCUUCCUCUCUCCCUCCUACCACCUGCCAGUUUCCCCAGCCUCAGCCCCAGCCCCAGCCCCAGUGGGCAAGACCAAAGUGUGGCGGGGAGUGGGGUGGGAGUCAGGGGAAUAGAUGUGACUAGUUCAGGGGCGGGGACUCCCAGGCCUCAGUGUGGCAGGGUGUGUUGAAGGCCUGUGGUGCCAUCUCCCCAUGGUUCAUGUGGAGCCACGAACAUCCUUUCCCUGCAGUCCAUUUGUCUGUGUGGCAGGCUGGCUGGCUGGGGGCAUCUGCCUGUCUAUGUGCUGUUGGUGUGCCUAUGCCUGGGGGAGGUCAGUAGGGGCCCCCUCCCCACAUGGCCCUCGCUCUGUCUAUGCAGGGGCCCCAAAGCCCGCACUUUGUCCGUGUGUCUUAGCCCUGUGGUUUUGUCUCUCUGUGUGUGUGUGUGUGUGUGUGUGUGUGUGUUCUUGGUGCUGUGGCCUGUGUGUCUCUGUGCCUAUGUGGCUGUGCUAUGGUUUCUAUGAGUCUGCUCCAUCCAUGUGUCUGUUUGGGGGUCUAUCUCUCCAUCCCUCUGUUGGUGCUGUGCCCUUGGCUAUCCCUGAAAGAGGGAGGACUCCGCUGCAGCUCCACCAAUAAACUUGUGUCUCACUGCAUCUUUCAGCCUGUGUGCUGACUCCUCAGAAGGGGGAAAUCAAAUAGGUCAUUUGAGAACAACAGAAUCCCUCCUGUCCCUUCCCAGCCUCUGGAGUGACCUCCCACAGACCUCCUGUCCCUUCCCAGCCCCUCCACCCUCAGAUGGAGGGUAAAAGCCACCAGUCUCUUUACUCCCCUUCCCCUGGCUCACAGCAUGCCUGGGUCCUUGGCUCAGGGACAGUCCCAUGUGCCCUGGGCUUGGUUGCAGAAUGCUGGAAGGUAAGGAGCCAAGGAAUCCCUGGGAGUCAGUCGUUCUCAGAGGUCCCUGCAUGCCAGUGGGCCUCAGGCUGGCUGGAGGGAGGCUGGGUCCCUUUGAGGGAAAAUGGCUAGACCAUAGCACUGAUGUGGGCUUGGUUCUCAGGCCAUCUAAGGUGUCCAGCGGUAGGGACCCCUCAACCCUGAUAGCAGCCAACCCUGAGUCCAGGUUUAGGCUGUGAACACCAAGGACCUCUUUUACACCUAUUCCCCCUUUGUCUUAAGAACUGCAUAUUUUGACACAUUAAGUCUUAAAAUCAGGCUCAUUAAGGGAUUGUUGAUUUUCUCUUUAAAAAAAAUCAAACUCAAGCUGGACAUAGUGGCCUGUGCCUGUAAUCUCAGCCCUUUGGAGGCUGAGGCAGGAGGAUUGUUUGAGCCCAGGAGUUCAAGACCAGCCUGGGCAACCUAGGGAAACCCCUGUCUCUAC